GCCUGGGUGGCUCAGUCAGUUGAGCGUCUGACUUCGGCUCAGGUCAUGAUCUCACGGUCUGUGGGUUCGAGCCCCACGUCGGGCU
RNAcentral lists this transfer RNA (85 nucleotides) under Felis catus (domestic cat). It matches the Rfam family "tRNA". From Rfam's summary of the family: Transfer RNA (tRNA) molecules are approximately 80 nucleotides in length. Their secondary structure includes four short double-helical elements and three loops (D, anti-codon, and T loops). Lineage: Eukaryota; Metazoa; Chordata; Mammalia; Carnivora; Felidae. The record is from Rfam by way of RNAcentral.